GACGAACGCUGGCGGCGUGCUUAACACAUGCAAGUCGAACGGAAAGGCCCUGCUUUUGUGGGGUGCUCGAGUGGCGAACGGGUGAGUAACACGUGAGUAACCUGCCCUUGACUUUGGGAUAGCUUCAGGAAACUGGGGCUAAUACCGGAUAGGAGCUCCUGCUGCAUGGUGGGGGUUGGAAAGUUUCGGCGGUUGGGGAUGGACUCGCGGCUUAUCAGCUUGUUGGUGGGGUAGUGGCUUACCAAGGCUUUGACGGGUAGCCGGCCUGAGAGGGUGACCGGCCACAUUGGGACUGAGAUACGGCCCAGACUCCUACGGGAGGCAGCAGUGGGGAAUAUUGCACAAUGGGCGGAAGUCUGAUGCAGCAACGCCGCGUGCGGGAUGACGGCCUUCGGGUUGUAAACCGCUUUCGCCUGUGACGAAGCGUGAGUGACGGUAAUGGGUAAAGAAGCACCGGCUAACUACGUGCCAGCAGCCGCGGUGAUACGUAGGGUGCGAGCGUUGUCCGGAUUUAUUGGGCGUAAAGGGCUCGUAGGUGGUUGAUCGCGUCGGAAGUGUAAUCUUGGGGCUUAACCCUGAGCGUGCUUUCGAUACGGGUUGACUUGAGGAAGGUAGGGGAGAAUGGAAUUCCUGGUGGAGCGGUGGAAUGCGCAGAUAUCAGGAGGAACACCAGUGGCGAAGGCGGUUCUCUGGGCCUUUCCUGACGCUGAGGAACGAAAGCGUGGGGAGCGAACAGGCUUAGAUACCCUGGUAGUCCACGCUGUAAACGGUGGGUACUAGGUGUGGGGUCCAUUCCACGGGUUCCGUGCCGUAGCUAACGCUUUAAGUACCCCGCCUGGGGAGUACGGCCGCAAGGCUAAAACUCAAAGGAAUUGACGGGGCCCCGCACAAGCGGCGGAGCAUGCGGAUUAAUUCGGUGCAACGCGUAGAACCUUACCUGGGUUUGACAUGGAUCGGGAGUGCUCAGAGAUGGGUGUGCCUCUUUUGGGGUCGGUUCACAGGUGGUGCAUGCCUGUCGUCAGCUCGUGUCGUGAGAUGUUGGGUUAAGUCCCGCAACGAGCGCAACCCUUGUUCACUGUUGCCAGCACGUUAUGGUGGGGACUCAGUGGAGACCGCCGGGGUCAACUCGGAGGAAGGUGGGGAUGACGUCAAGUCCUCAUGCCCCUUAUGUCCAGGGCUUCACGCAUGCUACAAUGGCUGGUACAGAGAGUGGCGAGCCUGUGAGGGUGAGCGAAUCUCGGAAAGCCGGUCUCAGUUCGGAUUGGGGUCUGCAACUCGACCUCAUGAAGUCGGAGUCGCUAGUAAUCGCAGAUCAGCAACGCUGCUGUGAAUACGUUCCCGGGGCU
This 1346-nucleotide ribosomal RNA is filed under the name uncultured bacterium. RNAcentral describes it as "bacterial SSU rRNA". It matches the Rfam family "Bacterial small subunit ribosomal RNA", at positions 28 to 1381 of the family's 1533-position model. The record is from RNAcentral.